AGACUCUGUAAUAAAUUUAGAGUAUAUGAGAUAUAUAAAAAUCCUUAUUAUCAAGUGAGAAGUACAGAAUGACAGUAACAUAGUUUACCUCAAUAAAUAAUGUAUCAUAAAGUUGUUCAACAGAUAAAAGAGAUGAAAUUUUAUUUCCUGUUUUUCCUGUAAGCCAAAACAUUAUCUUUGUCUUCAGGAAUAGUAUGCACUGGAAUAGGCAUCCAUUUGAAAUUACUCCAUACUUGUUUACCAACUGGAGGAUAAAGUCCAGCAAGAUGUGAUUCAGCUGACAUUAAGGUACGAUCUACAUCUGUACUUUGAAUAUAAAUAUCAUAUGGAGAAUAUAGGUCACUUAGUAGAUGUGAAUAGCGUUUGCGGAUCCAACGACCAAGUAGUAAAUGCUGAUAUUUUCCAAUCUGAUGUAACAGACACAUAUGAGCUAGGACUUAAAUAUUUUGAAAUUAAAAAGAUUUUAAAAUCAAACAAAAAUUUGCAACAACAUUAAAUGCAACAAAAGUAAUACAAUAAAGAAAAGAUCAUUAAAUAAUUAAGCUAUAUAUAUGAUAAUUAAGAAUUACAUACAUUUGUUAAUUGGCCAUAUGGGACUUGCCACAAACUUUCAUUGUUAUAAGGAUCAUUCGGGUAUGGUCUUAUGGGUGUUCUAUCUCCAUGUCUGUAUAACUGUAAAAUAGAUUGUAAUUAUUUUUAAUAAACAAUGACAAUGAUUAUUAUUAUAA
Long non-coding RNA from Bombus terrestris (buff-tailed bumblebee), 728 nucleotides. RefSeq lists it as uncharacterized. The transcript has 2 exons. NCBI's taxonomy places the organism in Eukaryota, Metazoa, Arthropoda, Insecta, Hymenoptera, Apidae. The record is from RefSeq and is a predicted model, not a curated record.